Molecule: ribosomal RNA, 402 nt
Filed under: uncultured bacterium
Lineage: Bacteria
Description: bacterial SSU rRNA
Rfam family: Bacterial small subunit ribosomal RNA
Source: RNAcentral
GGGGAAUAUUGCGCAAUGGGGGAAACCCUGACGCAGCAACGCCGCGUGAAGGAUGAAGGUCUUCGGAUCGUAAACUUUUGUCUUCUGGGAAGAAUAAAUGACGGUACCAGAGGAGGAAGCCACGGCUAACUACGUGCCAGCAGCCGCGGUAAUACGUAGGUGGCAAGCGUUGUCCGGAUUUACUGGGUGUAAAGGGCGUGUAGGCGGGAGAGCAAGUCAGAUGUGAAAUACCGAAGCUCAACUUCGGGGCUGCAUUUGAAACUGUUCUUCUUGAGUGCAGGAGAGGUAAGUGGAAUUCCUAGUGUAGCGGUGAAAUGCGUAGAUAUUAGGAGGAACACCAGUGGCGAAGGCGACUUACUGGACUGUAACUGACGCUGAGGCGCGAAAGCGUGGGUAGCAAAC